CAGAUCAACGCUUCCAAUCGAGGAGAAACUUAUUUACGGAGAGAGAGAGAGAGAGGAGAUAUGGUAGGCGGCGGAGAUGACGGACGCGGCGGAGCUGCUGGUAGUCGUGGUGGUAACAAAGCGGAGGCGGAUCGGUUGCUCGUAACAUCGGAGAAGCUUCUAUCGUCUAGUGACUUCCAAGGAGCCAAGGCAUCAGCGAUCCGCGCAUGCAAAUCCGACCCGACCCUAGCGGAAGCGGCGGACUCCAUCCUCACAAUCUGCGACGUUCUCAUAGCCAGCGAGAUUCGUUUAGGCAACUCAAAAUUACCUGACUGGUACGCCGCGCUGCGACUCGGUCGGUUAGCUCAGAACCCCGAACACGUCGCGACUCAGUACCGUAGGCUCGCUCUUCUCCUCAAUCCGUCGGUUAAUCGCUUUCCGUUAGCCGAUCAGGCGUUUAAGGUCGUCUCCGAUGCUUGGCACGUGCUCUCCGAUCCCUCGAGGAAGUCGCUGUACGACCAAGAGGUUCAACUGAGUCAACUCGUCCAACCGCAGCAGAAGCAACGUUUCAUAUGGAAACCUAGCCAAAGCACCACCAAAGUAGUAGCAGUAUCACAACAUCCGCCUUCUGUUGCUCCGCCAGCUACAUCCACCGUUGGAUAUCCGCAGCGGAGGAGCGAUCCUACGGCGACGAGCUUCUGGACUGCUUGUCCGUACUGUUUUGUGCUCUUUGAGUACCCUAAGGCUUACGAGGAAUGCGUCUUGAGGUGCCAAGAUUGUAGAAGAGCGUUUCAAGCUGUGACGAUACAGAAACCUCCUGUGGAAGGGAAAGGUGAAGAUGUUUACUUCUGCUCGUGGAGCGUAUUCCCGCUGGGGUUUUCUGGAGAGUUUAAAGCUCCGAGCUGGUCACCUAUUUCACCUCUUAUUGCAUGCCCUCUGCAAAUGGUGGAUGAUGAACGGACCACCAAGAAGAGAAAGGAACCGGCUCCUCCAAGAUUUUUCUAUGACGACGAUGACAUAUAUGUUGCGAUUUCAGAAGAUGAUCAUGAGGAAAAUGAGCCUAGUGAUGAUUGUCAAGAUGAGUUACAAGCGAAGAAUGCUGGGAAAGGGAAAGAAAAACUUGUGAGAAGUAAUAAGAAACGUGGAGCAGAUAAGGCUGGGAAGGGAAUCCAACAUGUAGAAAGUAUCGGUGGUGCUAGCAAUCAUGCGGCUUCAAUUGCUUCGUAUGUUACUCCUGUUGGCUCCGCGUCUAUGUCUAAACCAAUGAGUAGUAAAAAAAGAACUGGAACUGGAGCGAAGAACCUAGGAAGGUUGGAUUUGAAUGUGGAGUUCAGUAAUGAAGUGGAAGAACCUGCUGUGGCAGGCGGGAGAAAUGAAGGCAAUGGGCUCGGAAGUAAUAGGGAGGUGGAUAAUAUGGAAGGGAUUGGGUUCUUUGAGGACCUUGAUGAAUUCUUGAGUAGUUUGCCGAUAUUUUCUGUCGAUGGGGAUGAUAAGAUCAAGGCUACUUAGUGAAGUUUGCAGCUUCGAUCACACCGAAGUUUUCGUAACCCUUUGACAAGAAUUUCUAGCCAAGGUCUAUGGUAAAGACGUAAAUGGCUUUGUAGAGACUCUUCUUUUGUAGUCGCUGUAGGCAUUCUUACAAAUGUUAGAGUUUUCACUUACCUGUAAGCUCUAACGAGAGUCUGCAAGAAGAUGCCAUAACCAAUGCGUUGAUAGUCGUCG
RNA transcript from Brassica oleracea var. oleracea, 1701 nucleotides. RefSeq lists it as uncharacterized. The record is from RefSeq and is a predicted model, not a curated record. Lineage: Eukaryota; Viridiplantae; Streptophyta; Magnoliopsida; Brassicales; Brassicaceae. The transcript is spliced from 3 exons.